CAGCCGUAAACUAUGCGCGUUAGGUGUAUCGGUGACCACGAGUCACCGAGGUGCCGAAGGGAAACCGUGAAACGUGCCGCCUGGGAAGUACGGUCGCAAGGCUGAAACUUAAAGGAAUUGGCGGGGGAGCACCACAACAGGUGGAGCCUGCGGUUUAAUUGGAUUCAACGCCGGACAUCUCACCGGAUAAGACAGCUGAAUGAUUGUCAAUCUGAAGGUUUUACAUGACUAGCUGAGAGGAGGUGCAUGGCGUAGACGUCU
RNAcentral lists this ribosomal RNA (261 nucleotides) under uncultured archaeon. RNAcentral describes it as "partial 16S ribosomal RNA". It matches the Rfam family "Archaeal small subunit ribosomal RNA", at positions 748 to 1009 of the family's 1478-position model. The record is from RNAcentral.